UACGAAGGGGGCGGGCGUUGUUCGGAUUUACUGGGCGUAAAGGGCGCGUAGGCGGCCCUCCUAGUCGCGUGUGAAAGCCCCGGGCUCAACCUGGGAAUUGCGCGCGAAACGGGGGGGCUUGAGUUCGGGAGAGGAGCGUGGAAUUCCCAGUGUAGAGGUGAAAUUCGUAGAUAUUGGGUGGAACACCGGUGGCGAAAGCGGCUCUCUGGCCCGGAUCUGACGCUGAGGCGCGAAAGCGUGGGGAGCAAACAGG
Molecule: ribosomal RNA, 253 nt
Filed under: uncultured bacterium
Lineage: Bacteria
Description: partial 16S ribosomal RNA
Rfam family: Bacterial small subunit ribosomal RNA
Source: RNAcentral